UCCAAGUAAGCCAAAUGAUCUUUUUAAUGGAAUAAAAAAACAUAAAGUAAUGCUAUGUAUUCAAAGGAGGAAAUGAGCCAACUUUGGCCAAGGUCCAUCAGGUCACUGAGAACCAGCUUCCUCAGCUAGAACAACUGAAAACCAAGACAGCAAGUGCCUUCCUGAGGCCCAGCCAGGGCCCCAGAAAUUGCAAAACAGAGGCUCAUUAUGAGGUCAUAGCAAGUAAUCAACCAAUCGAGGACAGGGAUUAUCAGUCCUAUCUCUGUUUACAAAAGAGUUCUCACACUGUCUGGAAUCCCUUUACUCUUACUGAUGACGUCAAAUGGCUUUCUUCAUGCCUGGACAGACAGUCCCAUUGCGUGGACGAAAAAAGGCCUGGGAUGUCACUGAAUUUAGCAGCCAGAUCAUAGCAAGACAGAAGGGAGAAAAUGCAUAGACAACACUUCAGUGACUCACUCAUGUUUGAUGAAAGCUGGGAGGAGGCCUGGAGAAUCCAAGCUACAAGCACAAAACGUACAAAUACUGGAAUCUCCCAUCAAGAGAAGGAAAUUUAGCCACCUAUCUGGUUUGUCAUUUUGCUGAACUUCCACUGAAGGAGGAAGGGCCAGCUUUAAACUCCACCCACCCUUUCCACAUCCUUCUCAAUUUUUGCUUUGAUGGGAAAGUGGGGAAACUGGCGGCCCCACCAUGGCUAAAAGAGAAUCAAAUCCUUUCUAUACUUCCUCUCAAAGCAGAGGCCUAGUAGCUCCAGUCCACAGCUUAACCAAGCAGAGGGAAUAGGGGCUUGUCCUGGUUACUGUAGGAAAGCCUCAUCAGGCAGUCUCAGGGAAGGAAGAUGACCACCCUCCUCACCCUUUCCAUCUGCUGAGGUUACUUCAUUCCAAUCCAUUAAUGGGCUUCAAAGUGCUGCUGGGGGGAGUCCAUUUAGCAGAGAAGCUAUCACGGGGCCAAAGGUGGCGCCCACCCCCUACCCCAUUUGUCGAUAAUGGGCCACAAAGUCUGAGGCUUGGCUGCACUCUAGACAUAAAAUAUUCAUUCAAGUCGACAUAAUACAUAAGUAGGAACCUCAUGGAAGCUCCUGGGAGAAGAGAAAUGCCAGCCAGGUGGCUAAGUGCUCAAUGGGAAAGAGUUCAUGAAGGCCUGGGUUAGUCCUGAUCAAAUGCCCACUGAGAAUUGGGUUGUUCUGUCCAAAGGGGAAACAAUCUAGUCUGAGAAGUUCUGACUCCCAAAAGCUCGAACCCUGCAAACCUCUUAGGCAAGCAAAGUCUCAAUCUUUUCCUACCUCAUAGGCACCAACUCUGCUUAGGACAUUUAUGCUGAGAAAAAUCUCCAGCCCAAACUUUGGUUGGUCUGAAAGAUUAAGUUAUCCUUGUGCAAACUUUAUUUUAAUCUGCAGCAGGCCGAGUUUCAACAACUGUCUUAUAUCCAUCUGUUUAGCUACUUUCCGAAGUCCAUAAAUUGGAGAAAAGUAAUUUUUUUUUUCUGAGAUAGUGUCUUGCUC
This 1501-nucleotide long non-coding RNA is filed under the name Homo sapiens (human). RNAcentral describes it as "HSALNT0363153". The record is from RNAcentral. Lineage: Eukaryota; Metazoa; Chordata; Mammalia; Primates; Hominidae.